RNAcentral lists this ribosomal RNA (834 nucleotides) under Coprinopsis udicola. RNAcentral's name for it is "LSU rRNA". It matches the Rfam family "Eukaryotic large subunit ribosomal RNA", at positions 78 to 897 of the family's 3401-position model. The record is from RNAcentral. Lineage: Eukaryota; Fungi; Basidiomycota; Agaricomycetes; Agaricales; Psathyrellaceae.
CCCUAGUAACUGCGAGUGAAGCGGGAAAAGCUCAAAUUUAAAAUCUGGCGGUCUUCGGCCGUCCGAGUUGUAAUCUAGAGAAGUGUUACCCGUGCUGGACCGUGUAUAAGUCUCCUGGAAUGGAGCGUCAUAGAGGGUGAGAAUCCCGUCUUUGACACGGACUACCAGUGCUUUUGUGGUGCGCUCUCAAAGAGUCGAGUUGUUUGGGAAUGCAGCUCAAAAUGGGUGGUAAAUUCCAUCUAAAGCUAAAUAUUGGCGAGAGACCGAUAGCGAACAAGUACCGUGAGGGAAAGAUGAAAAGAACUUUGGAAAGAGAGUUAAACAGUACGUGAAAUUGCUGAAAGGGAAACGCUUGAAGUCAGUCGCGUUGGCCGGAAAUCAACCUUGCUUCUGUUGGGUGUACUUUCUGGUUGACGGGCCAGCAUCAGUUUUGACCGGUGGAAAAAGGUCAAGGGAAUGUGGCAUCUUCGGAUGUGUUAUAGCCCUUGGUCGUAUACAUCGGUUGGGACUGAGGAAUUCAGCACGCCGAAAGGCCGGGUCUUUGACCACGUUCGUGCUUAGGAUGCUGGCAUAAUGGCUUUAAUCGACCCGUCUUGAAACACGGACCAAGGAGUCUAACAUGCCUGCGAGUAUUUGGGUGCAAAACCCGGAUGCGCAAUGAAAGUGAAAGUUGGGAUCCUUGUCAUGGGGAGCACUGACGCCCGGACCUGAAGUUUUCUGACGGCCCCGCGGUAGAGCAUGUAUGUUGGGACCCGAAAGAUGGUGAACUAUGCCUGAAUAAGGUGAAGCCAGAGGAAACUCUGGUGGAGGCUCGUAGCGAUUCUGACGUGCAAA